UGCGGCGUCAUUGACAAAAGAACCAU
Molecule: non-coding RNA, 26 nt
Filed under: Homo sapiens (human)
Lineage: Eukaryota; Metazoa; Chordata; Mammalia; Primates; Hominidae
Source: RNAcentral